Mauremys mutica (yellowpond turtle) is the source of this 1092-nucleotide long non-coding RNA. RefSeq lists it as uncharacterized. The record is from RefSeq and is a predicted model, not a curated record. The transcript has 3 exons. NCBI's taxonomy places the organism in Eukaryota, Metazoa, Chordata, Testudines, Geoemydidae.
UAGUCAUGAGAGGAACAUGGGGAGUUCUCUUUCUCGGGACAGGGUAAGGCCUGGUGAAGCUAGGCUGGAGAGAACCACAGGGGAUAGGUUAGGCUGCUGUAGGAGGCCUGAAGAGAGGGUCUGUGACAAACAUGGUGGUCCCUGGGAGAUACUGAUGGAAUCCCUGAGGAGGGAAGACAGUGGGGAAGCCUGCUAGGAAGAAAGGUCUCUAAGGAAAAAGCCCUGGGAGGCAGCCCUCAGCCAGAGGGGCAAUGAAAGAAAUCUGCAGGCCCCAGGAGUUGAGCUCGAGGGCGAAUUGUGCGUGGCGGCAGUCUACAAAGGUUCUGGAGACAGAUCCCUGCAACUCCAGGCCUAUCUGACACCAGGCUCUGAUUUGGAUCCCACCAUGCUUUAUCGCUGUAGCCGACUGAUGUACAAAUUCGGCCUUGGGGGUCACUUUGCCCAACACUAAGAUGAAGGUGGCAUUUCUGGGGUGAAAUAUGGAAGCUGCACAACUGCACGGAACCAUCAUAUGCAAUGGUUUAGAGCGAGAAUUUAGGAACGCUGUGUGCGCACAACUGAUACUAGAGGACCGGGGCGUUUAUGUGAGCAGAACCUGAAUGAGCAUUUGGACAAAGCACUGUAAUUGACACGCCCAAGUCUUACAAAAAAAGGGCCACUGGAGCAUUAAUGACAACAAGUGAGCAGAGCUUCUUUUUUCUGGAAAACACCACCUCAUGCAGCACAGUGCCUGCUGCCACCACAGUGGAGCAUCUCUUUAAAAAAAUAAAUCAAAUAACACAAAAAAUUGGUCAUCAACCACUUCCCAGUUUCCUUCCUUGUUCCCUGCAGUUCUCCCAUCCAUGCAGAGUUAUGGCUAUGGACCAAGAGUUCUUCUUGGUAAACAAGACCUGUUGCACAAGUCAACAGAGUUGCAGGUCAUUUCGAUGCUUCUUUCAGUUUCCUCUUUCCUCCUAGGAAGAGGACUAAGGGCUCACUAACCUUGUGCCAUCACACAGAUUGCUGGUAGCCCAUGCCUUUAUGAAUGGAAUUUGGGCUGAAAUCUCAAAUAUGAAUUAUAGUUACACAGUGGAGGAGGCUGGAGAUUAUUCU